RNAcentral lists this transfer RNA (77 nucleotides) under Flavobacterium branchiophilum. Its description in RNAcentral is "transfer RNA-Arg". It matches the Rfam family "tRNA". Rfam says of the family: Transfer RNA (tRNA) molecules are approximately 80 nucleotides in length. Lineage: Bacteria; Pseudomonadati; Bacteroidota; Flavobacteriia; Flavobacteriales; Flavobacteriaceae. The record is from RNAcentral.
GGCUACGUAGUUCAACUGGAUAGAAUAUCAGAUUUCGGCUCUGAGGGUUGGGGGUUCGAAUCCCUUCGUGGUCACAA